This 253-nucleotide ribosomal RNA is filed under the name uncultured bacterium. Its description in RNAcentral is "partial 16S ribosomal RNA". It matches the Rfam family "Bacterial small subunit ribosomal RNA", at positions 524 to 776 of the family's 1533-position model. The record is from RNAcentral.
UACGUAGGGGGCAAGCGUUGUCCGGAAUUAUUGGGCGUAAAGAGCUCGUAGGCGGUCUGUCGCGUCUGCUGUGAAAACUCGGGGCUUAACCCCGGGCCUGCAGUGGGUACGGGCAGACUAGAGUGCGGUAGGGGAGUCUGGAAUUCCUGGUGUAGCGGUGAAAUGCGCAGAUAUCAGGAGGAACACCGGUGGCGAAGGCGGGUCUCUGGGCCGUAACUGACGCUGAGGAGCGAAAGCAUGGGGAGCGAACAGG